Molecule: ribosomal RNA, 516 nt
Filed under: uncultured bacterium
Lineage: Bacteria
Description: bacterial SSU rRNA
Rfam family: Bacterial small subunit ribosomal RNA
Source: RNAcentral
GAACUUAGCAGAGAUGCUUUGGUGCCUUCGGGAACUCUGAGACAGGUGCUGCAUGGCUGUCGUCAGCUCGUGUUGUGAAAUGUUGGGUUAAGUCCCGCAACGAGCGCAACCCUUAUCCUUUGUUGCCAGCGGUCCGGCCGGGAACUCAAAGGAGACUGCCAGUGAUAAACUGGAGGAAGGUGGGGAUGACGUCAAGUCAUCAUGGCCCUUACGAGUAGGGCUACACACGUGCUACAAUGGCGCAUACAAAGAGAAGCGACCUCGCGAGAGCAAGCGGACCUCAUAAAGUGCGUCGUAGUCCGGAUUGGAGUCUGCAACUCGACUCCAUGAAGUCGGAAUCGCUAGUAAUCGUAGAUCAGAAUGCUACGGCGAAUACGUUCCCGGGCCUUGUACACACCGCCCGUCACACCAUGGGAGUGGGUUGCAAAAGAAGUAGGUAGCUUAACCUUCGGGAGGGCGCUUACCACUUUGUGAUUCAUGACUGGGGUGAAGUCGUAACAAGGUAAGCGUAGACGU